GCUCAUUUCAGCAGAACAUAUACUAAAAUUAGAACAAUACAAGAGAUUAGCAUGGCCCUUGCACAAUGAUGAUGCACAAAUUUGUGAAAUGUUCAUAUAAAAU
Saimiri boliviensis boliviensis (Bolivian squirrel monkey) is the source of this 103-nucleotide small nuclear RNA. NCBI's taxonomy places the organism in Eukaryota, Metazoa, Chordata, Mammalia, Primates, Cebidae. The record is from RefSeq and is a predicted model, not a curated record.